CAGUAGCCGCGGGAAUACGUAGGGUGCGAGCGUUAAUCGGAAUUACUGUGCGUAAAGCGUGCGCAGGCGGUUUUGUAAGACAGAGGUGAAAUCCCCGGGCUCAACCUGGGAACUGCCUUUGUGACUGCAAGGCUAGAGUACGGCAGAGGGGGAUGGAAUUCCGCGUGUAGCAGUGAAAUGCGUAGAUAUGCGGAGGAACACCGAUGGCGAAGGCAAUCCCCUGGGCCUGUACUGACGCUCAUGCACGAAAGCGUGGGGAGCAAACAGGAUUAGAUACCCCCGUAGUCCCUGUCUCUUAUAC
This 301-nucleotide ribosomal RNA is filed under the name uncultured bacterium. RNAcentral's name for it is "partial 16S ribosomal RNA". It matches the Rfam family "Bacterial small subunit ribosomal RNA", at positions 509 to 807 of the family's 1533-position model. The record is from RNAcentral.